UAGGCAGAUUCACUAAACCAUUAGGUGAAUGACUUAGCUUGAGAACUGAAGAAGGGCGUGGCAAGCUGCGAUAAGCUCUAGUGAGGAGCAUGCAUCCUUAGACCUAGAGAUUCCUGAAUAGGACUUCCUACUCUUUAGAGUGUUUAGAAAUAAAAAAUGACAUGGGGAACUGAAGCGUCUUAGUACCCAUAGGAAAAGAAAUCAACCGAGAUGCUGUUAGUAUCAGCGAGAGAAAGCAGCCCAGGGCAAACUGAAUAUUUCAUAGAAAUAUGGAAUAAAUGUGGUGUUUGAACUGUUAUUAAAUCUUAACUUAUAAUUUCGAAUUUUCUUGAAAUAGAAAACUUCAGAGGGUGAUAGUCCCGUAGAAAUAUAUGAGAAAGAUUUUUACAGUUUCUGAGUAAGGCACAUUGGAUAUUGUGUCUGAAUUUAGGAGGCAUCAACUUCUAACCCUAAAUAUUGUCUCAAGACUGAUAGAAUACAAGUACUGUGAAGGAAAGUUGAAAAGUACCUAUAAAAAGGUCUGAAAAGUUUCUGAAACCUAAUGGUGAUAGCAUGUUACUGUUCUUCGGAAUUGUAACGUACGUUUUGAAUAACGGACCAGGGAGUUUAAUUAAGUGGCAAGAUUAAGAUCCAAAAAGAUAAUAAUCUAAAAUAAAUUAAAAGUCUGCAGUUUACGAGAGACGAAGUAAUAAAAUGCUUUAAGUCACUUGGUUAAUACCCGAAGCCGGGCGAUCUUACCCUGAACAAGGUGAAGCUCCUGAAAGGGAGUGGAGGCCUGAAGAGGUUCUGCGUGCAAGCGUUCUUCUGAUUUGGGGUAAGGGGUGAAAAGCCAAUCGAGCCUGGCAAUAGCUGGUUCCCACUGAAGUUGGCCGUAGUCAAGUCUUGAAGGAGAUAGUUGAAAUGGUAGAGCUACGGAUUGAGAAUUUUGGGGAGUAAAAUCUUCGGUUCUUUGUUCAACUCAAAAUAUUUUAACAUCUUAGAUUUCAGGAAACGGCGGCAGGCGGUAAGCGUCUGUCGCGAGAGGGGAACAACCCAGACUACAAUUAAGGUCCCAAAAUAUUGGUUAAGUGUUAAAGGGUGAAAGACGUGCACAAUCACAGACAGCAGGGAGGUUUGCUUAGAAGCAGCAAUCCUUUAAAGAAAGCGUAAUAGCUCACCUGUCAAGAUUGUGUGCUCUGAAAAUGGACGGGACUAAACCAAUUACCGAUAUUGUAGAUUUCUAAAAAUGAAAUGGUAAGUGGGCAUUUUGUGAGGGCAGAAGUUUUAUCGUGAGAUAGGAUGGACCUUGCAAAAAUGAGAAUCCUGGUGGUAGUAAGAUCUAUAUAUCGUGAGAAUCGAUAAUACCGAAAGGGCAAAGGUUUCUCAGCAAUAUAGUUUAGCUGAGAUUAAGUUGAUCCUAAUUACACUCCUAAUUAGACGUGUAAGAAAGGGAAAAGGGUUAAUAUUCCCUUACCAUUUAGGUACAUAUGGCAACAGAAUAUUAUUUCUCGACUCUUUGGGCUAGAUUAAUAUUUUUCGUCAAAAAUAUUAACCAAAACAAAUCAAGGAAGGAUUGUAAUAAUGAGAACUUGAUUAAAUUUGGGAUGAGUUUAUCUAUGGUAAAUUUAAUUGAUGCCUAGAGACAGUGAAAAGAAAAAUAAUAGGAUCCUAAAUGUUCAUACUGAGAACCGACACAGGUGCCCCUGGGUGAGAAGCCCAAGGUAUGAGGGAGUAACUUAACUUAGGGAAAUCGACAAAUUAGUCCCGUAUCUUCGGUAUAAGGGAUCCCUGCAUUCGUAUCCUUAUGGGUGCGAUUACAGGGUGCAAUAACUAAGGCGGCCCGACUGUUUAACAAAAACUUAACCAACUGCAAGCCUGCAAAGGUGUGUAUAGUUGGUGACGUCUGCCCAGUGCUUGUACUUCAAAUUCCAGUUCAAUGGAACUAAGAGCAAGUAAACGGCGGGAAUAACUAUAAUUCUCUUAAGGUAGCGAAAUGCCUUGUCGUUUGAAUGACGACCUGCAUGAAUGGCGUAACGAGGUU
RNAcentral lists this ribosomal RNA (2020 nucleotides) under Candidatus Woesearchaeota archaeon. Its description in RNAcentral is "partial 23S ribosomal RNA". It matches the Rfam family "Archaeal large subunit ribosomal RNA", at positions 1 to 2088 of the family's 2987-position model. Lineage: Archaea; Nanobdellati; Candidatus Woesearchaeota. The record is from RNAcentral.